AGAAAAGCAACUUGAGAGGAGACACAGGAAGGCAAUGAUUUGGGGCUUGGCUAAGAUUUUGGGGUUUUCCCCCCCUCUUGCGGGUACUGGAAUUCUGCAGUCAGCCAGCCCUUUUUUGAGGUGGAAAGGGGAAAUGCUUUCCAAACCCACCUAGUUUGGGAAGCCAUCCCAGUCCCGGUGGUGUGAGAUCCAGUGUGGCAAAAAGACUGGAAGGAAAGAAAAAGGAGAUCCUCUCAACAUUGCGAUUGAUAAGAUGACUAAGAAAACAAGAGAUCUAAGGAGACAGCUUCGGAAAGCAGUGAUGGAUCACAUAUCUGAUUCUUUCUUGGAAACCAAUGUUCCUUUGCUAGUUCUCAUUGAGGCUGCAAAGAGCGGAAAUGAAAAGGAAGUGAAAGAAUAUGCUCAAGUUUUCCGUGAGCAUGCCAACAAACUGGUAGAGGUUGCCAAUUUGGCCUGUUCCAUCUCCAACAAUGAAGAAGGGGUGAAAUUAGUUCGGAUGGCAGCCACCCAGAUUGACAGCCUGUGUCCCCAGGUCAUCAAUGCCGCUCUGACACUGGCUGCCCGGCCACAGAGCAAAGUUGCUCAGGAUAACAUGGAUGUCUUCAAAGACCA
Molecule: small RNA, 612 nt
Filed under: Pongo abelii (Sumatran orangutan)
Lineage: Eukaryota; Metazoa; Chordata; Mammalia; Primates; Hominidae
Description: processed transcript
Source: RNAcentral